Molecule: long non-coding RNA, 3211 nt
Filed under: Sus scrofa (pig)
Lineage: Eukaryota; Metazoa; Chordata; Mammalia; Artiodactyla; Suidae
Description: lncRNA (ENSSSCG00000061660.1)
Source: RNAcentral
AACUCGGGGCGUUGAAUAUGGAUGGCCUCGGGUUUCCGAACUUGUCUGGGACCCUCUCUACUAGAGAGGUCUUGCGCUUCCUGGGAGGCCUCAUGCGCGGCCCCGGUCCGCACUCUUCGAUAAGAAUUUGCUCCUUUUAUCCGCUGAUGAGCCCCCCGGAAAUUUAGGGUCCACCCACGUUAAGGGCCCACCUUCGUCCCGCACGCUAACGAACCAGGAGCUAGAAAGCCCCUGUGUGCUUGAGACUGCCUCCAAAGGGACUCCCAGCCAGACCACGUGCCUGAAGCUGCCGCUGGAGUUUGCUGUAAGCAGCGAGAAAACAGUAUUCAAUUUCAAGAAACCUUGCACUAGAUAGUUUUCUCUACAGGGAGCACCUCAGUGGUCACCGGGAUAGGGUGGGGAGAAGUUGUUGGUCAAGCCAACCGCAGAGCAGGGCCUUUAGCCACUCAAAAGUUUCUUCUUUGUUAUUUGGACUAAAGCACCUAUUAAAAAAUGGUGGCUGCUACGAUAGUGUCAGCAGAUGGUCCAGGAGUCUGACAAAACAGUCAAAGGAAGGUACCCUGGCGAAGGCACGGAAGAUUGCCUUUGCGUUGUGCUUUUGCCAUUUAUUCAGAUGGGUCAUUGUGGCAAAACUUAGUGUCAAACUUAAAACCAGAGCACUCUCGUUGGUUUAGAGCCCGUGCAGGUAGGAUGAUUCCGUCCUGGGCGUCUGGUACCUAACUGUUAACAAAACUGGGAUACUUUCAGCUAUGAUGAUAUUUCCCCAACUGAGCUAGUGUUCAGAACCACCUCUGGAGUUUCUAAUUAAAGAGGUCUGGGAUUGGGCCCAGGAUUUUGUAUUUUAACAAGGGCCUGUGGGGAUUCUUGUGAGCAAUCAAGUUAUUUUGCAAUUCUUACUAGAACUCUCCUGAGACUAAAUGAAAAGGAAGCCCACAGAUACCCACUGGGGCUCUCUGAUCAGCAAAGAGGCUGGGGCCAGUUCUAUGGUCUGCACCCUUCUUUCUCGUGAUCUGUGAGAAAGGUUUUCUGAUUUUGAACUCGGAUGGGGGCACAGAAAGAACUGCAUAAGCCAAAGCAUGGCGAAAUGCAGUAAGAGCCCAGUGGUUGUUUUUCUUUUGUUGUCUUUUUAGGGCCACAACCUUUGCAUGUGGAAGUUCGAGGUCUAGGGAUCAAAUUGGAGCAACUCAGGGUCAGAGCCGCAUCAGUGCCCUACACCACAGCUCACAGCAAUGCUGGAUCCUUGAACCCACUGAGCAGAGCCAGGGAUCGAACCCGAGUUCUCAUGGAUACUAGUUGGGUUCAGUACCACUGAGACACAACUGGAACCCCAUGACUGUAGUGUUUACAAGCCAUGUGGCACAGGGCAAGCUUAGCACACGCUUGGAAAGAGGCUGGAGAGAUAAGCAGUGGGCAUGGUCAAGUGACAGGGAUGAGUUACAGAAAUAGUGGCAUGGCUGGCUUGGCAUUCAGAUCUCAGUUUAUACCACCUCUGAAGAGGCCUUUCCCAACUCUACAGUGAGAAGUGCCCCCCACCUAGCAUUUAAGGAUCUGGUGUUGCCCCUGCUCUGGUGAGGGUCACUGCCGAGGCCAGGGUUCAGUCCCUGGCCUGGGAAUUUCCUCAUGCCAAAAAAAAAAAGAAAAAGUGCCACCCAGAAGCUCCCUAUUAUAUCACUGAAUCCUCUGGAGAUACCUACCACUACCUGGCAUUUUUCUUGGCUGUUUAUUGUCUGUUUGCUCCUUCUCCAGCCAGGAGAACACAGACUUUGUUCUCUGCUGUAUUCCUGGCGCCUUAAACAUUGCCUGACAUAGUGGUGAAAAUUAUUUGUGGAAGGAAGGAACUAUUUAGGUAAAAGGAACAGUGGAGAAAGCCAUUAUGGCUUAGUGUUCCAGUGCCUUGCGCUGGAGUCAGUCUGGGAUAGAAAAAUAGUAACAGCUAUUACUUAUAUAAUGCUUACGAAGUUCCAAGCACUAUUCUAGUUUUAUGGGCAUGUAUCUGUGUAUCUUAUAUACAUAUGCAAAUUAAUUUACUCUUAGAAAAAAAGUACCACUGUUUUACAGAAAUUGGGGCAUAGAGAGGUAAAUGAACUUGUUCAGGGUCACAUAGCUAAGAACUAGGAUUUUUAUUUACUUACUUAUUUUGUCUUUUUAGGGCUGCACCUGUGGCAUAUGGAGGUUCCCAGGCCAGGGGUAGAAUAGGAGCUGUAGCUGCUGGCCUAUACCACAGCCACAGCAACACCAGAUGCAAGCCGCAUCUGUGACCUACACUUCAGCUUACAGCAACACCAGAUCCUUACCUCACUGAGCCAAGCCAGGGAUCGAACCUGCGUCCUCAUGGAUGCGAGUUAGGUUUGUUUCUGUUGAGCCACAAGGGGAACGCCUGGAACUAGGUUUUAAAUUGAGACCCUGCUCUGUCAUCCCAGUUUCUUCAUAAAUGGGGAUAACAAUACCUAACUUGGGGGUUGUUAUGAGUAUUUAGAUGUGUAAUAAGUUCUCAGUUAACAUUAGCUAUUGUUACUAUUGACAGACUUGGUGAGUAGAGAAGGAGAAAGGUUCGUUUAUUUUCCGUAUCUGAGUGUGUAUAUGCAAGUGGAGUGACACCAGCAGGGCUGCAGGUUUGGGGGAGUUCAGUUUCGGACAUACUGAGUGCACAAGGAAUACCUAUCACUUAUGCAGUUGAUUCUGCGGAGGUGGUCACAUGACUGCAGACACAGGUGGUGUGAGGGACCAGCCUAGAAGAGAAGCCAGAGUGAGGAGAGGAGAAGGGCUGGGCAGGCCCAGGCCCAGUGAUGGGAAACAUCUAGGGUGAGAGAAGGCCCAGAGGCAGAAGGAGAGCUAGAAAAAGGGAGUUUGGUAAGCCCAGGGAAGAAAGAACGGUGGGUGUCCAAUGCUACAAAAAAGUCAAAUAAGAUGAGGCCUGAGAAGGCCUCCUGGAUUCUGUAUUAAGAGAUACUGGAGGAGUUCCCGUCGUGGCGCAGUGGUUAACGAAUCCGACUAGGAACCAUGAGGUUGCGGGUUCGGUCCCUGCCCUUGCUCAGUGGGUUAACGAUCCGGCGUUGCCGUGAGCUGUGGUGUAGGUUGCAGACGCGGCUCGGAUCCUGCGUUGCUGUGGCUCUGGCGUAGGCCGGUGGCUACAGCUCCGAUUCAACCCCUAGCCUGGGAACCUCCAUAUGCCGCGGGAGCGGCCCAAGAAAUAGCAACAACAACAACAACA